Molecule: transfer RNA, 65 nt
Filed under: uncultured Bulleidia sp.
Lineage: Bacteria; Bacillati; Bacillota; Erysipelotrichia; Erysipelotrichales; Erysipelotrichaceae
Rfam family: tRNA
About the family: Transfer RNA (tRNA) molecules are approximately 80 nucleotides in length. Their secondary structure includes four short double-helical elements and three loops (D, anti-codon, and T loops).
Source: RNAcentral
GGUAUAGCCAAGCGGUAAGGCAACGGACUUUGACUCCGUCAUUCGCAAGUUCGAAUCUUGCUACC